RNAcentral lists this ribosomal RNA (229 nucleotides) under uncultured bacterium. Its description in RNAcentral is "partial 16S ribosomal RNA". It matches the Rfam family "Bacterial small subunit ribosomal RNA", at positions 110 to 339 of the family's 1533-position model. The record is from RNAcentral.
GUAACACGUAUGCAACCUACCUUAUACUGGGGAAUAACUUCGAGAAAUCGGCGCUAAUACCCCAUAACACUGCGAAGAGGCAUCUCUUUGCAUUUAAAGCUCCGGCGGUAUAAGAUGGGCAUGCGUCCAAUUAGCUAGUUGGUGAGGUAACGGCUCACCAAGGCUACGAUUGGUAGGGGUUCUGAGAGGAUGAUCCCCCACACUGGUACUGAGACACGGACCAGACUCC